RNAcentral lists this long non-coding RNA (939 nucleotides) under Ficedula albicollis (Collared flycatcher). RNAcentral describes it as "lncRNA (ENSFALG00000023886.1)". Lineage: Eukaryota; Metazoa; Chordata; Aves; Passeriformes; Muscicapidae. The record is from RNAcentral.
GCUACCUACUAAGAAUCCUGCUGCAGGUCUGACACUCCUUGGUUUUAGUUCAAUCCAAAUUUAAUUUUUUCUUCUUUUUCCAGAAGUCCUGUUGGCACCAGAGUUUUCUUGCAUUUGGCCAUGGGCAGGGUUGCAGUAAAUGGUUUCCUUUCUCUUCAUUCUGGGACCCUGUGCCAGGGCAGAAGAGGAGGAAGUGAGCCUUUGAAUGCAGUUCUCUACUUGGCAUGCCUGCUCAACUGAAGCUGCAGCUACAGGUGGCCCAUGAGUGGGGAGCAUGGAGCAGGUUCCUUCCAAGGAGAGGAAGAGAUUGGUGAGACUGCUGUCUAACUGGGACCAGAAGUUUUUACCAGAGUGGUACUUGGACUGACAUCUCAGUGGUAAAUGCAAAUAAAUUAGUUAAGUACGCCUGCAUGAAAUUUUCCUGCUGAAAAACUCAUUCUAUAAAAGCAUUUAUACUGUAUUCUUUAUUGUCAGCUAAUCCAGCCCAAACUCAUUAAAUGGCAGUGUGUGGGUUACUUGCUGUCAGUGAAAUUAUCAAAGGCAUUUUUCAGCUGAUGCACUGGGAAAGCAUGUGCUCCAAUGCCAACUAAAACAAUAACGAGGAAAUGUUAUGAUCAGACUUGACCAAAUGACCUUUCCCAUUUUAGAUUAGUUCUUAAUUUCAGCACAAGGGUCAUCCUGUGAGAAUAGUUACAAUAAGUCACUGCUCACCUCUCACAUGAAAAAGAAGUGACUUAUUAGAAAUCUCACUGUACUCAUUGCAGUUAAUGAGAUGUGGAAAGCUUUAUAAUUUGAUUUGCUGGACCAUAUGCUGUAAAGGGAUACUGCUGAUUUCAUUCCUCCACAUUUAAUUUAAGCAGUAUGCAAUGGCUUCUUCAUAUGGCUACUUAUAUAAUAAAAAUUAACUUGGAGUAUAAAAAAAAUAGACCAUUGUGGGGU